GCUGGCGGCGGGCAUUCGCGGCGGCGGCGCGUAGCACUGGAGUGAGUGUUAUGGUGGUGGGGACGACUUCAACACCAUGGCUGCUGCUUCGCCCACUCCCUCCAACCGUGACAGGCGCCGCCGCACUCGCCGCAUCCUUGAUCCGAUUUUGUUGGUAGCAGACAAGCAUCAGCAGCGAGCCAGCGACAGCGGCGGCUAGCAGCGCUCGACAACGAGGGAUGGCCUUUGAAGCAGCACCUGUCUCACCCCAACCCAUUUUCGUCCAAAGGGGAGGCGCAAUUACGAUGAGCAUGCGGAUGAAGGCGGCGGCGCAAUCCUGAUGCUCACAAGACACAACUACCACAACUACAAGAAGCUGCUUGGUUGUGUUUGUACUUUUGAUUCCAACUCCAUGGUGCUUGACAACAUGCGGAAGAAGAGCAAGAGGAAGGAUCUGACUGUGAAGAACAAGUUCACCAGCAUAUGGAUUUUUUUUAUUUUUAACCUUUUUUAAUAAUAUUUUAAUUUCAACCCGUAUUGAUUUUUAUUUGCAGGGAGUAGCCCGUUUGGUCGUGCCACUUGCCCCGGCGCGACAGAUAGCAUCUGUCGCGCCAGUGUAUGUGGCGCGACAGGGUGGCCACGCUGGCGGCCCGAGCCAGCGCUGCCCUGCGUCGGCGAUGACGUGGCCCUACCUGU
Long non-coding RNA from Panicum virgatum (switchgrass), 675 nucleotides. RefSeq lists it as uncharacterized. NCBI's taxonomy places the organism in Eukaryota, Viridiplantae, Streptophyta, Magnoliopsida, Poales, Poaceae. The transcript is spliced from 3 exons. The record is from RefSeq and is a predicted model, not a curated record.